GUCUUUUUAGUUUAUAUCUAAAACAUAACUCUGAAGAGGUUAAAAAUUAUGAGACG
Molecule: transfer RNA, 56 nt
Filed under: Cucullanus robustus
Lineage: Eukaryota; Metazoa; Nematoda; Chromadorea; Rhabditida; Cucullanidae
Description: tRNA-Phe
Source: RNAcentral